This 69-nucleotide transfer RNA is filed under the name Ochotona princeps (American pika). RNAcentral describes it as "tRNA (ENSOPRG00000024300.1)". It matches the Rfam family "tRNA". From Rfam's summary of the family: Transfer RNA (tRNA) molecules are approximately 80 nucleotides in length. Their secondary structure includes four short double-helical elements and three loops (D, anti-codon, and T loops). The record is from RNAcentral. Lineage: Eukaryota; Metazoa; Chordata; Mammalia; Lagomorpha; Ochotonidae.
GGGGACUUAGCUUAAGUAAAAGUGUCUGGUUUGCAUCCAGGAGAUGUGAGGUAGUUCUUGCAGUCCUUA